AGAAAGCAACUUUAAAAUCAGAAACGCGACUACUUGUUCUUCUGCCGAAGUACCAAACCCUCUCUACUUUUAUCUCAUUUUUGGGGUACGUAUCUUGGAUUGUCUUGCGUCCCUAUCCAGUCGAUGGAAGCUAUACCGUUGCUAAACAGCACUCCGCAUUCUUUAUCCUUCCGCGGAUCUCCGUUUUUGCGGAAGCCGGUAGUUGUAUUCGAUUCGAGGAGGAAAAGGCCGAGCCGAAUUGUUGUGCGAAGCGCUUUGAGUGAUUGCGUCCUUGAGGAGGAGUUUAAGUUCAAGCCGUCCUUCGAUGAGUAUUUGAAGGCCUUGGAAUCUGUCAAGCUCGACAGGGGUAGUAAUGAUAAUGAUAAUGAUAAUCGUUAUAAUGUUAGUCAUAGGAAAAGGAAAAACAUAGCGAAAAAAGUUGUUCAGGAAGAACGGAAGGCAAGAGACGUGACGACAGCAGUUAAAAAAACGUUGGAAAAGAAAGGUUUCAGUGAGAAACAUGAAUUGGUUCAAGAAAAUUCAAGAAAUGAAGGGUUUGGCGAGGGAAUUGAGUUGGAAAAGGUUAAGAGGCACAUCAAAGCUUCCAAGGUUAACAGCCGAAGUGAAAUUAUUGAUGUGGAAAGAGCAGCAUUCAAACCACUAUAUACUGAAGAUGGUCUGAUGGGCAAGCCAAGAAUUUCUAGGGUAGACAUGGAAGAAAGAAUCCAGAAGCUUGCAAAGUGUUUGAAUGGUGCAGAUGUCGACAUGCCUGAAUGGAAGUUCACUAAAAUGAUGCGGAGUGCUCAAAUAAGAUACUCAGAUUAUUCUAUUAUGAGGGUCGUGCAGAUAUUGGGUAAGUUGGGAAACUGGAGGCGGGUCCUCCAAGUCAUUGAAUGGAUGCAGUCCCGGGAGCGCUACAAAUCUCUCAAGCCACGACAUAUUUACACUGCUGCACUGGAUGCUCUUGGAAAAGCAAGAAGACCAGUAGAGGCUCUCAAUCUGUUUCGGAGAAUGCAGGAGCAAUUGGCUUCCUACCCUGACAUGGUGGCUUAUCAUUGUAUUGCUGUUACUCUUGGACAAGCUGGUCGUAUGAAAGAACUAUUUGAUGUGAUUGAUACCAUGAGAUCUCCUCCCAAAAAGAAGUUCAAAACUGAUUUAAUUGGGAAGUGGGAUCCACGUUUGGAACCGGAUGGUAUAGUGUACAAUGCUGUCCUUAAUGCUUGUGUUCAGUGCAAGAAAUGGGAAGGAGCUUUCUGGGUAUUGCAGCAGCUAAGCGAACAGGGUCAACAACCUUCAUGCACCACUUACGGCCUAGUUAUGGAGGUGAUGUUGGCAUGUGGGAAGUAUAACUUAGUUCACGAUUUCUUCCGGAAAGUUCAGAAAUCACAUCCACCAAAUGCUUUAAUCUAUAGAGUUCUUGUAAAUACACUUUGGAAGGAAGGCAAAACUGACGAGGCCAUAAUGGCGAUUGAACAAAUGGAGAGAAGAGGAAUAGUUGGCAAUGCUGCACUAUACUAUGACCUUGCUCGCUGCCUUUGUAGCGCAGGAAGAUGCCAUGAUGCACUUGAACAAAUUCAGAAGAUAUGCAAAGUCGCAAGUAAACCGCUUGUAGUGACUUACACUGGUUUGAUUCAAGCCUGUCUGGACUCAGGCGAUAUUAAAAGUGGGGCGUAUAUCUUUAAUCACAUGAAGACGUUCUGCUCACCUAAUUUAGUAACAUAUAACAUCAUGCUGAAGGCUUUCAUCAAUCACAAGAUGUUUGAAGAAGCGAAGCAGCUAUUUAUGACACUAUUGGAAAAUGCCGGUUUUAUAGGUCAAAAUGAAGAUUAUAAACUGAGGGUUAUUCCUGAUAUUUACACAUUCAACACAAUGUUGGAUGUGUGUGCUGAAGAGCAAAAGUGGGAUGAUCUUGAAUUUGUAUAUGAACGAAUGCUACACUAUGGUCACCACUUCAAUGCAAAACGCCAUCUUCGGCUAUUGCUGGAUGCCCAGCGCGCCGGAAAGGAAGCGCUACUGGAAAUGACAUGGAAACAUUUGAUCAAAACCGAGCGGGAUCCUCCUCUGCUGCUUACCAGAGAAAUGGUCGCCGUGAAGCUACAGAACGGUGACUAUGCUGCUGCUCUCUCUUACAUCAUUAGCUUUGCAUCUCCUGAUACUCAGUUAUUUUCCCGAAAGUCUUGGUCAAAUUUUUUCUUUGCGAAUGCUAGCCGGUUUGAUGCGCGUACACUUCACUCAUUGGUUCAUGAAACUAGCAUUCUACUUUCAGAAAAUAGGAACCUUUUACUCGAACACCUGCUAGGAUCUUGUAAGGAAUUUUUAAGGACCCAAAGGUGUACAUAUCUUGAGCUCAGUUAAUUAAUGGAGCACAUUAAUGGAGCACGUAAAAUAUGAAAAUAUAGCAAUUUUUGUAUCCGAUGCUCGCGUUCAGGUGCCACCGGUGUAAGCUCUGUUUUACUGUUAAUAUUACAUGAUCUUCCACUCGGAUAAAACUAUGCAGAAUUACCCAUUUUUGUGUAGAUUAACGUGCAAUUUGUUCUAUAAGACAGAUAUUAUACCCCAGAUUAUACAGGAAAAAAGGGCCGAAAUAAAAUUGCCGGUAGCCUCGGCAGAAUUGCUGUGCCGCGCCGACUUUACUACAGCAGUCUUCUUGUUCAUAUGCAGCCUGAAUUUGAGCUUGCAGGUCACGAAUACUACUGUUUCCUCGAUGGCUACUCAGGCUACCAUCAAACCGGAGGACUGUGAGAAGACUACAUUCACUUACAGAAGGAUGUUGUUCGGGCUUUGCAAUUCUCCGGCCACCUUCCAGCGAUACAUAUACCAUAUCUUCAGCGAUCUCCUGGACUCCUGUAUAGAAGUAUUUAUGGAUGACUUCUCGGUAUAUGGCAAGACAUUUUUCAGAUGCCUGAACAACCGGGAAAAAGUACUUCUCCGCUGCAUUGAGACUGAUCUCGUGUUGAAUUGGGAGAAGUGUCAUCUCACGGUAAAUGAAGGAAUUGUCUUAGGCCAUAAAAUCUUAUCUUCCGGUAUUGAGGCGGAUAGAUCAAAAGUUAAUGUGAUCGAAAAGAUGCCAGCACCCUCGAAUGAGAAAGGAGUGCGAAGUUUCCUUUGACACGCGGGGUUCUACUGCCGUUUCAUCAAGGGCUUCAGUCAAAUCAAGCAACCACUUACAUCACUGUUGUGCAAAGAUUCUCAGUUUCACUAGUCAAGCGAGUGUGAGGAGGCUUUCCGAAUACUGAAGGAGAAGUUGACCUCCGCUCCUAUUAUUUCAGCACCAGUGUGGAGUGAACCAUUUGAGCUGAUGACGGAUGCAAGCGACUAUGCCGUCGGCGCUGUACUAGGACAAAGGGUGGAAUCAAAAUUGAACGUCAUUUAUUAUGCAAGCAAAUCACUGGAUUCCGCUCAAAAGAAUUACACUAUAACCGAGAAGGAGCUGCUAGCUAUUGUCUUCGCUUUCGAGAAAUUUCGACAAUAUCUUAUCGGGAGCAAGACCAUUGUUCACACUGAGCAUGCAGCUAUCAAGUAUUUGAUGGAGAAGAAGGAGACAAAGGCCCGCUUGAUCAGAUGGGUACUGUUGCUCCAGGAAUUUAACAUAGAAAUCAGCGACAAGAGGGGGAAAGAGAAUCAUGUGGCAGAUCACUUCAGUAGUUAAAACAAGAAGAGGACAUAUCUCCAAGAAUCAACGAACAAUUACCAGAUGAGAAGCUUUUCCUGGUGCAAGCGAAUGAGCCAUGGUUUGCAGACCUGGCCAAUUUCUUAACUACAUGCAGUUUUCAGUCAGCGCAUACCAUACAAAAGGAAAAGAAGAGAUUGCUCAGUUUGGUAAAGGACUAUUUUUGGGAUGAACCUUUUUUGUUCAACAUCGGCGCAGAUGGGAUAAUCCGUCUCUGUGUAGAGGAAUCUGAGAUCCCACUGAUCUCGAAUGAAUGUCAUGGGUCCAUGUAGGAGGGCAUUUCGUUGGCCUGCGCACAGCGGCCAAAGUUUUGCAGUUGGGUUUCUUUUGGCCUACCCUACAGAAAGAUGUUGAUGCCUUUGCCAAAUCUUGCGACAAGUGUCAAAGAUUGGGAUCUAUGAGAUGCCCCAAACUGGAGUCUUGUUUGUGGACAUAUUUGAUGUAUGGGGAAUAGACUUUAUGGGUUCCUUUCCGUCUUCCAAUGGGAAAUUAUACAUUCUGGUGGCGGUGGAUUACAUAAGCAAAUGGGUUGAAGCGCAAGCGCUCACCACUAAUGAUGCUCGAUCAGUGAUCCGUUUCCUAAAAUAUACCAUAUUCUCAAGGUUUGGGUCUCCAGAACUAUAAUAAGCGAUGAAGGCACCCACUUUAUGAAUAAGGCGCUGAAAUCUUGCCUUCAACAAUAUGGUGUCCGCCAGCAUCUAACUACCCCUAUCAUCCGUAAGCGAGCGGUCAGGUGGAAGCUACCGCUUGCCUCUCGUGACUUAGUCUUUUUCAGUAGAUAUUCUGGGCGCUUGCGAGCGGAAGAGACUAUCGCUUGUGGCGCGUGCUUUAGCUUUUCUGGCACCAAACUAUUGCUAAAAAAUGGCAAAAAUCGUUAAUAAUCUCAACAACGAAAUCUGGAUCAUGUCAAGCGAUACAUAUCAAUAAUGUAUGCCAUUAACGGGUUAUUAUGAU
This is an RNA transcript of Andrographis paniculata, 4603 nucleotides long. It is a transcript of the gene named pentatricopeptide repeat-containing protein At1g30610, chloroplastic, with no coding region annotated. NCBI's taxonomy places the organism in Eukaryota, Viridiplantae, Streptophyta, Magnoliopsida, Lamiales, Acanthaceae. The record is from RefSeq and is a predicted model, not a curated record. The transcript has 10 exons.